Molecule: ribosomal RNA, 485 nt
Filed under: uncultured bacterium
Lineage: Bacteria
Description: partial 16S ribosomal RNA
Rfam family: Bacterial small subunit ribosomal RNA
Source: RNAcentral
AUUGAACGCUGGCGGCAGGCCUAACACAUGCAAGUCGAGCGGAUGAAGGGAGCUUGCUCCUGGAUUCAGCGGCGGACGGGUGAGUAAUGCCUAGGAAUCUGCCUGGUAGUGGGGGAUAACGUCCGGAAACGGGCGCUAAUACCGCAUACGUCCUGAGGGAGAAAGUGGGGGAUCUUCGGACCUCACGCUAUCAGAUGAGCCUAGGUCGGAUUAGCUAGUUGGUGGGGUAAAGGCCUACCAAGGCGACGAUCCGUAACUGGUCUGAGAGGAUGAUCAGUCACACUGGAACUGAGACACGGUCCAGACUCCUACGGGAGGCAGCAGUGGGGAAUAUUGGGCAGUGGGCGGAAGCCUGAUCCAGCCAGGCCGCGUGUGUGAAGAAGGUCUUCGGAUUGUAAAGCACGUUAAGUUGGGAGGAAGGGCAGUAAGUUAAUACCGUGCUGUUUUGACGUUACCAACAGAAUAAGCACCGGCUAACUUCGUGC